This 582-nucleotide ribosomal RNA is filed under the name uncultured bacterium. RNAcentral describes it as "bacterial SSU rRNA". It matches the Rfam family "Bacterial small subunit ribosomal RNA", at positions 28 to 606 of the family's 1533-position model. The record is from RNAcentral.
GAUGAACGCUAGCGGGAGGCUUAACACAUGCAAGUCGAGGGGUAACAGGGGUAGCAAUACCUGCUGACGACCGGCGUACGGGUGAGUAACGCGUAUGCAACCUGCCCUAUACAGGAGGAUAGCCCGGAGAAAUUCGGAUUAAUACUCCAUGUAGCAUUUUUUUCGCAUGAAUUAGAUGUUAAAGAUUUAUCGGUAUAGGAUGGGCAUGCGUCCCAUUAGCUAGUUGGUGAGGUAACGGCUCACCAAGGCAUCGAUGGGUAUGGGGUCUUAAAGGAUGGUCCCACACACUGGCACUGAGACACGGGCCAGACUCCUACGGGAGGCAGCAGUGAGGAAUAUUGGUCAAUGGGUGAGAGCCUGAACCAGCCAUCCCGCGUGCAGGAUGACGGUCCUAGUGAUUGUAAACUGCUUUUCUAUGAGAUGAAUAAGAAUUACGUGUAGUUCGAUGACCGUAUUAUAGGAAUAAGCAUCGGCUAACUCCGUGCCAGCAGCCGCGGUAAUACGGAGGAUGCAAGCGUUAUCCGGAUUUAUUAGGUUAAAGGGUGCGUAGGUGGGCGUUUAAGUCAGUGGUUAAAGCCAUUA